Molecule: non-coding RNA, 112 nt
Organism: Acanthosepion pharaonis
Lineage: Eukaryota; Metazoa; Mollusca; Cephalopoda; Sepiida; Sepiidae
Source: the annotation of a GenBank genome assembly
UACGGUCCUACCAUAUUGAAACACCGGUUCUCGUACGAUCACCGAAGUUAAGCAACAUCUAACCUGGUCAGUACCUAGAUGGGUGACUCCUUGGGAAUGCCAGGUGCUGUAA